RNAcentral lists this ribosomal RNA (429 nucleotides) under Pseudomonadota bacterium. Its description in RNAcentral is "Proteobacteria bacterium partial 16S ribosomal RNA". It matches the Rfam family "Bacterial small subunit ribosomal RNA", at positions 355 to 776 of the family's 1533-position model. The record is from RNAcentral. Lineage: Bacteria; Pseudomonadati; Pseudomonadota.
UGGGGAAUAUUGGACAAUGGGCGAAAGCCUGAUCCAGCCAUGCCGCGUGUGUGAAGAAGGUCUUCGGAUUGUAAAGCACUUUAAGUUGGGAGGAAGGGCAGUAAGCGAAUACCUUGCUGUUUUGACGUUACCGACAGAAUAAGCACCGGCUAACUCUGUGCCAGCAGCCGCGGUAAUACAGAGGGUGCGAGCGUUAAUCGGAUUUACUGGGCGUAAAGCGUGCGUAGGCGGCUGAUUAAGUCGGAUGUGAAAUCCCUGAGCUUAACUUAGGAAUUGCAUUCGAUACUGGUCAGCUAGAGUAUGGGAGAGGAUGGUAGAAUUCCAGGUGUAGCGGUGAAAUGCGUAGAGAUCUGGAGGAAUACCGAUGGCGAAGGCAGCCAUCUGGCCUAACACUGACGCUGAGGUACGAAAGCAUGGGGAGCAAACAGG